RNAcentral lists this ribosomal RNA (274 nucleotides) under uncultured bacterium. Its description in RNAcentral is "partial 16S ribosomal RNA". It matches the Rfam family "Bacterial small subunit ribosomal RNA", at positions 524 to 796 of the family's 1533-position model. The record is from RNAcentral.
UACGUAGGGGGCAAGCGUUGUCCGGAUUUAUUGGGCGUAAAGAGCUCGUAGGUGGCUCGCCAAGUCGGAUGUGAAAUCUCCAGGCUCAACCUGGAGCUGCCAUUCGAGACUGGCGUGGCUAGAGUCCGGUAGGGGACCACGGAAUUCCUGGUGUAGCGGUGAAAUGCGCAGAUAUCAGGAGGAACACCGAUGGCGAAGGCAGUGGUCUGGGCCGGCACUGACGCUGAGGAGCGAAAGCGUGGGUAGCAAACAGGAUUAGAAACCCCCGUAGUCC